GUGGGGAAGCGGAGGGACAUUACAGAGUUGCAAAACUCCCUAAACCAUUGUGAACGUUACCUAUACCGUUGCUUCGGCGGGCGGCCCCGGGGUUUACCCCCCGGGCGCCCCUGGGCCCCACCGCGGGCGCCCGCCGGAGGUCACCAAACUCUUGAUAAUUUAUGGCCUCUCUGAGAUCUUCUGUACUGAAUAAGUCAAAACUUUCAACAACGGAUCUCUUGGUUCUGGCAUCGAUGAAGAACGCAGCGAAAUGCGAUAAGUAAUGUGAAUUGCAGAAUUCAGUGAAUCAUCGAAUCUUUGAACGCACAUUGCGCCCGCCAGCAUUCUGGCGGGCAUGCCUGUUCGAGCGUCAUUUCAACCAUCAAGCCCCCGGGCUUGUGUUGGGGACCUGCGGCUGCCGCAGGCCCUGAAAAGCAGUGGCGGGCUCGCUGUCGCACCGAGCGUAGUAGCAUACAUCUCGCUCUGGUCGCGCCGCGGGUUCCGGCCGUUAAACCACCUUUUAACCCAAGGUUGACCUCGGAUCAGGUAGGAAGACCCGCUGAACUUAAGCAUAUCAUAAGCCGGAGGAAAA
Molecule: ribosomal RNA, 571 nt
Filed under: Chaetomium globosum
Lineage: Eukaryota; Fungi; Ascomycota; Sordariomycetes; Sordariales; Chaetomiaceae
Description: eukaryotic LSU rRNA
Rfam family: 5.8S ribosomal RNA (bases 199-352)
Source: RNAcentral